UUGCCAGCAUUUAGGUUGGGCACUCGUAAGGGGACUGCCGGUGAUAAGCCGAGAGGAAGGUGGGGAUGACGUCAAGUCCUCAUGGCCCUUACGGGCUGGGCUACACACGUGCUACAAUGGUGGUGACAGUGGGCAGCGAGCACGCGAGUGUGAGCUAAUCUCCAAAAGCCAUCUCAGUUCGGAUUGCACUCUGCAACUCGAGUGCAUGAAGUUGGAAUCGCUAGUAAUCGCGGAUCAGCAUGCCGCGGUGAAUACGUUCCCGGGCCUU
Molecule: ribosomal RNA, 268 nt
Filed under: uncultured Rhizobiaceae bacterium
Lineage: Bacteria; Pseudomonadati; Pseudomonadota; Alphaproteobacteria; Hyphomicrobiales; Rhizobiaceae
Description: partial 16S ribosomal RNA
Rfam family: Bacterial small subunit ribosomal RNA
Source: RNAcentral